UGGGGAAUAUUGGACAAUGGGGGCAACCCUGAUCCAGCNACAGCCGCGUGUGUGAAGAAGGCCUGCGGGUUGUAAAGCACUUUUAGUGGGGAGGAAAACACUCGACCUAACACGUCGAGGAUUGACUUAACCCAAAGAAAAAGCACCGGCUAA
RNAcentral lists this ribosomal RNA (153 nucleotides) under uncultured Gammaproteobacteria bacterium. RNAcentral's name for it is "partial 16S ribosomal RNA". It matches the Rfam family "Bacterial small subunit ribosomal RNA", at positions 355 to 500 of the family's 1533-position model. Lineage: Bacteria; Pseudomonadati; Pseudomonadota; Gammaproteobacteria. The record is from RNAcentral.